This is a non-coding RNA of Strigamia maritima, 114 nucleotides long. The record is from Rfam. Lineage: Eukaryota; Metazoa; Arthropoda; Chilopoda; Geophilomorpha; Linotaeniidae.
GUCAGGAUGGCCGAGCGGUCUAAGGCGCCAGACUCAAGUAUACUUGCCAAUCUAAUUGGUUGUGUGAUUUCUGGUUCACGAAUGUGGGCGUGGGUUCAAAUCCCACUUCUGACA